UAAAAACCCCCUCUUUUCUUCCAGAAUUACGGUUCUCCCCUUCUUGUGCGGAGGUAGGUGCCGCUCCACAGGGUGCGGUCACCGGUCGGCGUCCUCCCGGCGCAGAGGCGGGUAGGUAGGGUGAGCUUCGGCACGAGGCCUACCGUAUAUUCUACCCACCAUCCCCCCUGUGAGCCGCAUUAAAUAGAGUUCCGUCUCCCUCGGCCUUGUGAGCUUUGUAAGACAACCCUCCUGAUCCGUCUCUGCCCUCGGAAAUCCCACUUCGGGCGAGCUCUCCGGCGCAGCGGUGGUGUUCCGGGACUGUCUUCGUCAUCGGCCCGUGCCCGUGAAGCGGCUUCACAAGUCUGUGGCGCUGCUUCUUCCAUCUUUCCCUCAGCAUCUCCUUUGCGAGGGCUCCUCGUUUAGGCCGGCCAACACUCUAACCUGUGAGAUUCUCGUCUGUUUACAGUGGGAUCCGAGGUGGUCAUGGUGGAUGAGAUCGCGUUCCCUUCCGUGAAUGAAGACCCCAAGCCGCUCGCACUCUUGGGUUACGGUAAGAGCUCUCGCUCUCUCUCACUCUCACUUACGCUUACUCUCACUCUGUCUCUCUGUCUCUGUCUGUCUGUCUGUCUGUCUGUCUGUCUGUCUGUCUGUCUGUCUGUCUNNNNNNNNNNNNNNNNNNNNAGAGAGAGAGAGAGGAGGAGCGCCAGUGACCGGAAUAAAUCGACGUUGUGCCCAUCUCUUAUGAUCCAUUUGGCUUAAUUCCGAAUUCUCGGCAAUCCAAACGUCUCUACAUCACGAAUUUCUCUACAGUCCGUUUGGGGCGUGGCCCUGGCCCAGGUCCAGUUCAACAACGCCGCCGCCCGCUAACAUAUUCAUAUAUGUAUAUAUAUCGGUAGGUUUAUGUGUGGAUAUGUAAAAUUCGGUUGGAGAAGAGAAGGAUAAAAAACGGCGACGAAUAACAGGGCAGAGGGGUGAAUCUUCCGCCGUCA
RNAcentral lists this long non-coding RNA (971 nucleotides) under Spirodela polyrhiza (greater duckweed). RNAcentral describes it as "long non-coding RNA (SPOL_LNC001487)". Lineage: Eukaryota; Viridiplantae; Streptophyta; Magnoliopsida; Alismatales; Araceae. The record is from RNAcentral.